This 269-nucleotide long non-coding RNA is filed under the name Lonchura striata (white-rumped munia). Its description in RNAcentral is "domestica (Bengalese finch) lncRNA (ENSLSDG00000006867.1)". The record is from RNAcentral. Lineage: Eukaryota; Metazoa; Chordata; Aves; Passeriformes; Estrildidae.
AGUACAUGACAGUAGAGAUUUCGGAUCAUCGCUAAGAUUAGCUUCUGCUUUUUGACAGCUGCCUUUUCAAAUCUUACACUGUGAAGUAUAACCCAGCACUGCUGUUCCUUCUAGGGAACACUUAAUUAACUCCCUCAAGAAGAUGGUACUUCUGUAGUAAGGUAAUAUAUGGAGCAUGUACACAUUGUGAUUGCCCAAAGGUAGGCAGCUUGGUUUUAAUGAAAUGUGAGCACUGCUGGAGCUUGCAGUGGUAUUUGCAUACCCUAAGU